RNAcentral lists this ribosomal RNA (320 nucleotides) under Campylobacter fetus subsp. testudinum. RNAcentral's name for it is "bacterial LSU rRNA". It matches the Rfam family "Bacterial large subunit ribosomal RNA", at positions 1163 to 1492 of the family's 2925-position model. The record is from RNAcentral. Lineage: Bacteria; Pseudomonadati; Campylobacterota; Epsilonproteobacteria; Campylobacterales; Campylobacteraceae.
GCGGAAAAUAUAACGGGGCUAAAAGAGGACGAGCUUUAGACUUAGUUUUUAACUAAGUGGUAGGAGAGCGUUCUAUUCAGCGUGAAGGUAUACCGGUAAGGGGUGCUGGAGCGGAUAGAAGUGAGCAUGCAGGCAUGGGUAGCGAUAAUUGAUGUGAGAAUCAUCAACGCCGAAAACCCAAGGUUUCCUACGCGAUGCUCGUCAUCGUAGGGUUAGUCGGGUCCUAAGCAAAGUCCGAAAGGGGUAUGCGAUGGAAAAUUGGUUAAUAUUCCAAUACCAAUUAUUAUGUGCGAUGAAGGACGCUUAAAGUUAGUGGAGCU